GACAACCGACCAAGGGUCGGGAGCUGAAGACCCGGGACGAGACGCGGUCUCCGAGCCAGACCCGAUCUCCACCUGGGUACUCCACAUCGAUGGAGCUUCAAAUGCUCAGGGAAGCGGGGUCGGGCUCCUGCUCACGAAUUCGGAUGGGGUGGUCACCGAGUACGCCCUCCGGUUCGACUUCAAGGCCUCCAACAACCAAGCCG
This 203-nucleotide long non-coding RNA is filed under the name Elaeis guineensis (African oil palm). Its description in RNAcentral is "long non-coding RNA (EGUI_LNC074376)". The record is from RNAcentral. Lineage: Eukaryota; Viridiplantae; Streptophyta; Magnoliopsida; Arecales; Arecaceae.